CGUAACAAGGUUUCCGUAGGUGAACCUGCGGAAGGAUCAUUACCUAGAGUCUGUGCACUUCGGUCUGCUACCUCUUACCCAUGUCUUUUGAGUACCUUCGUUUCCUCGGCGGGUCCGCCCGCCGGUUGGACAACAUUCAAACCCUUUGCAGUUGCAAUCAGCGUCUGAAAAAACUUAAUAGUUACAACUUUCAACAACGGAUCUCUUGGUUCUGGCAUCGAUGAAGAACGCAGCGAAAUGCGAUAAGUAGUGUGAAUUGCAAAAUUCAGUGAAUCAUCGAAUCUUUGAACGCACAUUGCGCCCCUUGGUAUUCCAUGGGGCAUGCCUGUUCGAGCGUCAUUUGUACCUUCAAGCUCUGCUUGGUGUUGGGUGUUUUGUCUCGCCUCCGCGCGCAGACUCGCCUUAAAACAAUUGGCAGCCGGCGUAUUGAUUUCGGAGCGCAGUACAUCUCGCGCUUUGCACUCAUAACGACGACGUCCAAAAGUACAUUUUUACACUCUUGACCUCGGAUCAGGUAGGGAUACCCGCUGAACUUAAGCAUAUCA
RNAcentral lists this ribosomal RNA (545 nucleotides) under uncultured fungus. Its description in RNAcentral is "eukaryotic LSU rRNA". The stretch from base 186 to 339 matches the Rfam family "5.8S ribosomal RNA". The record is from RNAcentral. Lineage: Eukaryota; Fungi.